Long non-coding RNA from Dipodomys spectabilis (banner-tailed kangaroo rat), 586 nucleotides. RefSeq lists it as uncharacterized. The transcript is spliced from 3 exons. Lineage: Eukaryota; Metazoa; Chordata; Mammalia; Rodentia; Heteromyidae. The record is from RefSeq and is a predicted model, not a curated record.
CUUCCGUACAGGACCAGCAGGGGUAAAACAUCCGCAAGGAGCUGCCCGGGGCAUCCCUGGAGCUCAGAGAGGCUCGGCCGGGCCGCUGCGUGUGUGUGGCACCCGUCUCAAGAAGCCCUGCAUAGUCAGUAGGAUCAUCUACAGCCCCAUUCAGCCUUCCAAAUUGAUACUAGCCCAAACCGUGCACUCUACUACAUAGCAUCCUUGAUAUCAGAGUGACAGUACGGAGUUUAUAGAACCUGGGAGACAGUCCUGGUCUCCUCCUAGCCAGCCUCGGAUGGACUGCUGUCUCCGUACAGGGAGCGAAUGAUGCAGCAAGCCUCCAAGGUACCAGCGCCUCAGAGUCCGUUGCUGUGGAGCAGCUCACGGGACAGAUGUAUCCAAAGGGAGGGCCUGCGAGUUAGGCCCAGCGUCAAAAAGAGAACGCAGCGUGCUUGCGGAUGAGAAGACCACAUCGUCUGUGACCCUCAUAAGAAUCCAUGAUGCUCCCUGUCAGUCUGGCCACUGACCUAGUCAGUCCCUGCAUUUCUGGAAUGUUCUUAAUCUACUCCAAGAUGGAGGAACACUCUACCAGCAUAUUUGUGUA